Molecule: ribosomal RNA, 497 nt
Filed under: uncultured bacterium
Lineage: Bacteria
Description: partial 16S ribosomal RNA
Rfam family: Bacterial small subunit ribosomal RNA
Source: RNAcentral
ACUCAAAGGAAUUGACGGGGGCCCGCACAAGCGGUGGAGCAUGUGGUUUAAUUCGAUGCAACGCGAAGAACCUUACCUGGGUUUGACAUCCCUUGACCGCACUAGAGAUAGUGCUUUGUAGCAAUACACAAGGAGACAGGUGCUGCAUGGCUGUCGUCAGCUCGUAUCGUGAGAUGUCGGGUUAAGUCCCUUAACGAGCGCAACCCUUGUCCUUAGUUGCCACCAUUUAGUUGGGCACUCUAAGGAGACUGCCGGUGUUAAACCGGAGGAAGGUGGGGAUGACGUCAAGUCCUCAUGGCCUUUAUAUCCAGGGCUACACACGUGCUACAAUGGCCGAUACAGAGGGUCGCCAACCCGCGAGGGGGAGCUAAUCUCAGAAAGUCGGUCUUAGUUCGGAUUGAAGUCUGCAAUUCGACUUCAUGAAGCUGGAAUCGCUAGUAAUCGCGGAUCAGAACGCCGCGGUGAAUACGUUCCCGGGCCUUGUACACACCGCCCGU